GACUAGAGUUCCUGACCUCCAGGCCAGUCCCUGAUCCCUGACCUAAUGUUAUCGCGGAAUGAUGAACACUGCCUGGCCCUGGAGCCACUGGGAAGCCAACAGGGGAGUCCACGCCUGCUGGUGGGGGGAGCCCGGGAGGGCCCGGGAGAAGCACAAAGGGUGGGCUGUGUUGAGCUUCUUCUUUUCUUCCAGUAAAGAGGCUGGAGAGGAGCUGGGCCCAGGGCUCCUCAGAGCAGGAACUCCACUAUGCAUCUCUGCAGAGGCUGCCAGUGCCCAGCAGUGAGGGACCUGACCUCAGGGGCAGAGACAAGAGAGGCACCAAGGAGGAUCCAAGAGCUGACUAUGCCUGCAUUGCUGAGAACAAACCCACCUGAGCACCCCAGACACCUUCCUCAACCCAGGCGGGUGGACAGGGUCCCCCUGUGGUCCAGCCAGUAAAAACCAUGGUCCCCCCACUUCUGUGUCUCAGUCCUCUCAGUCCAUCUCGAGCCUCCGUUCAAAUUGAUCAUCAUCAAAACUUAUGUGGCUUUUUGACCUUUGAAUAGGGAAUUUUUUAAAUUUUUUAAAAAUUAAAAUAAAAAAAACACAUGGCUCACCCUUCCACCCA
Molecule: long non-coding RNA, 607 nt
Filed under: Homo sapiens (human)
Lineage: Eukaryota; Metazoa; Chordata; Mammalia; Primates; Hominidae
Description: long non-coding RNA NONHSAT116428
Source: RNAcentral